RNAcentral lists this ribosomal RNA (478 nucleotides) under uncultured bacterium. RNAcentral describes it as "partial 16S ribosomal RNA". It matches the Rfam family "Bacterial small subunit ribosomal RNA", at positions 28 to 523 of the family's 1533-position model. The record is from RNAcentral.
GAUGAACGCUGGCGGCGUGCUUAACACAUGCAAGUCGAACGGUAAGGCCCUUCGGGGUAAACGAGUGGCGAACGGGUGAGUAACACGUGGGUGAUCUGUCCUGCACUUCGGGAUAAGCCUGGGAAACUGGGUCUAAUACCGGAUAGGACCACUGCCUGCAUGGGUGGUGGUGGAAAGCUUUUGCGGUGUGGGAUGGGCCCGCGGCCUAUCAGCUUGUUGGUGGGGUGAUGGCCUACCAAGGCGACGACGGGUAGCCGGCCUGAGAGGGUGACCGGCCACACUGGGACUGAGAUACAGCCCAGACUCCUACGGGAGGCAGCAGUGGGGAAUAUUGCUCAAUGGGCGCAAGCCUGAUGCAGCGACGCCGCGUGAGGGAUGACGGCCUUCGGGUUGUAAGCCUCUUUCAGCACCGACGAAGCGCAAGUGACGGUAGGUGCAGAAGAAGGACCGGCCAACUACGUGCCAGCCGCCGCAGUAA